GGGCCCGCACAAGCGGAGGAACAUGUGGUUUAAUUCGAUGAUACGCGAGGAACCUUACCCGGGCUUGAAUUGCCGACGAAGGCCAUAGAGAUAUGUCCGCCGCAAGGCGUCGGUGAAGGUGCUGCAUGGUUGUCGUCAGCUCGUGCCGUGAGGUGUCGGCUUAAGUGCCAUAACGAGCGCAACCCUUGUCCAUAGUUGCCAUCGGUUAAAGCCGGGCACUCUGUGGAGACUGCCACCGUAAGGUGCGAGGAAGGUGUGGAUGACGUCAAAUCAGCACGGCCCUUACGUCCGGGGCGACACACGUGUUACAAUGGGCCAUACAGAAGGCAGCUACCUCGCAAGAGGAUGCUAAUCCCGAAAGUGGCCCUCAGUUCGGACUGGGGUCUGCAACCCGACCCCACGAAGCUGGAUUCGCUAGUAAUCGCGCAUCAGCCAUGGCGCGGUGAAUACGUUCCCGGGCCUU
This 463-nucleotide ribosomal RNA is filed under the name uncultured bacterium. RNAcentral describes it as "bacterial SSU rRNA". It matches the Rfam family "Bacterial small subunit ribosomal RNA", at positions 917 to 1382 of the family's 1533-position model. The record is from RNAcentral.